CCCCAGUGGCGGGCUGCUAUACAUGCAAGUCGAGCGGACAGAAGGGAGCUUGCUCCCGGAUGUUAGCGGCGGACGGGUGAGUAACACGUGGGUAACCUGCCUGUAAGACUGGGAUAACUCCGGGAAACCGGAGCUAAUACCGGAUAGUUCCUUGAACCGCAUGGUUCAAGGAUGAAAGACGGUUUCGGCUGUCACUUACAGAUGGACCCGCGGCGCAUUAGCUAGUUGGUGAGGUAACGGCUCACCAAGGCGACGAUGCGUAGCCGACCUGAGAGGGUGAUCGGCCACACUGGGACUGAGACACGGCCCAGACUCCUACGGGAGGCAGCAGUAGGGAAUCUUCCGCAAUGGACGAAAGUCUGACGGAGCAACGCCGCGUGAGUGAUGAAGGUUUUCGGAUCGUAAAGCUCUGUUGUUAGGGAAGAACAAGUGCAAGAGUAACUGCUUGCACCUUGACGGUACCUAACCAGAAAGCCACGGCUAACUACGUGCCAGCAGCCGCGGUAAUACGUAGGUGGCAAGCGUUGUCCGGAAUUAUUGGGCGUAAAGGGCUCGCAGGCGGUUUCUUAAGUCUGAUGUGAAAGCCCCCGGCUCAACCGGGGAGGGUCAUUGGAAACUGGGAAACUUGAGUGCAGAAGAGGAGAGUGGAAUUCCACGUGUAGCGGUGAAAUGCGUAGAGAUGUGGAGGAACACCAGUGGCGAAGGCGACUCUCUGGUCUGUAACUGACGCUGAGGAGCGAAAGCGUGGGGAGCGAACAGGAUUAGAUACCCUGGUAGUCCACGCCGUAAACGAUGAGUGCUAAGUGUUAGGGGGUUUCCGCCCCUUAGUGCUGCAGCUAACGCAUUAAGCACUCCGCCUGGGGAGUACGGUCGCAAGACUGAAACUCAAAGGAAUUGACGGGGGCCCGCACAAGCGGUGGAGCAUGUGUUUAAUUCGAAGCAACGCGAAGAACCUUACCAGGUCUUGACAUCCUCUGACAACCCUAGAGAUAGGGCUUUCCCUUCGGGACAGAUGACAGGUGGUGCAUUGGU
This 1032-nucleotide ribosomal RNA is filed under the name Bacillus altitudinis. RNAcentral's name for it is "bacterial SSU rRNA". It matches the Rfam family "Bacterial small subunit ribosomal RNA", at positions 34 to 1050 of the family's 1533-position model. The record is from RNAcentral. Lineage: Bacteria; Bacillati; Bacillota; Bacilli; Caryophanales; Bacillaceae.